CGCCUCUUGCAAAAUUAACGAAUAAGAGGUCCCGCCUGCCCUGUGACUAUAUGUUUAACGGCCGCGGUAUUUUGACCGUGCGAAGGUAGCGCAAUCACUUGUCUUUUAAAUGGAGACCUGUAUGAAUGGCACAACGAGGGCCUAACUGUCUCCUUUUUCAGGUCAAUGAAAUUGAUCUUCCCGUGCAGAAGCGGAAAUAACCACAUAAGACGAGAAGACCCUAUGGAGCUUUAGACAAAAGACAGACCAUGUUAAGCACCUUCAAAUAAGAAACCAAACUCGAUGUUUACUGCCCUAAUGUCUUUGGUUGGGGUGACCGCGGCGAAAUAAGUAACCCCCGUGUAGAAAGAGGGCUCACUCCCUUCGAAUCAAGAGCUUCCGCUCAAAUGAACAGAACAUCUGACUAAAAUAAGAUCCGGCAACGCCGAUCAACGGACCGAGUUACCCUAGGGAUAACAGCGCAAUCCCCUUCUAGAGCCCAUAUCGACAAGGGGGUUUACGACCUCGAUGUUGGAUCAGGACAUCCUAAUGGUGCAGCCGCUAUUAAGGGUUCGUUUGUUCAACGAUUAAAGUCCU
This 576-nucleotide ribosomal RNA is filed under the name Chaetodon auriga (threadfin butterflyfish). RNAcentral describes it as "partial 16S ribosomal RNA". It matches the Rfam family "Bacterial large subunit ribosomal RNA", at positions 1817 to 2597 of the family's 2925-position model. The record is from RNAcentral. Lineage: Eukaryota; Metazoa; Chordata; Actinopteri; Chaetodontiformes; Chaetodontidae.